AGAGUUUGAUCCUGGCUCAGGACGAACGCUGGCGGCGUGCUUAACACAUGCAAGUCGAACGAGGUCUUCGGACCUAGUGGCGAACGGGUGAGUAACACGUGAGGAACGUGCCCCAGAGACCGGGAUAAGCCGAGGAAACUUGGUCUAAUACCGGAUGUCCCCACCGGAUCGCAUGGUCUGGUGAGGAAAUGGAUUCCGCUCUGGGAGCGCCUCGCGGCCUAUCAGCUAGUUGGUGAGGUAACGGCUCACCAAGGCGUCGACGGGUAGCUGGUCUGAGAGGAUGAUCAGCCACACUGGGACUGAGACACGGCCCAGACUCCUACGGGAGGCAGCAGCCAGGAAUCUUGGGCAAUGGGCGAAAGCCUGACCCAGCAACACCGUGUGGGCGACGAAGGCCUUAGGGUCGUAAAGCCCUGUUGAUAGGGACGAAGGGCGAAGGGUUAAUAGCCCCUAGCUUGACGGUACCUUUCGAGGAAGCCCCGGCUAACUACGUGCCAGCAGCCGCGGUAAUACGUAGGGGGCGAGCGUUGUCCGGAAUUAUUGGGCGUAAAGAGCGUGUAGGCGGUUCGGUAAGUCUGCUGUGAAAUCCUGGGGCUCAACCCUGGGCGUGCAGCGGAUACUGCCGGGCUAGAGGGUGGUAGAGGCGAGUGGAAUUCCGAGUGUAGCGGUGAAAUGCGCAGAUAUUCGGAGGAACACCAGUAGCGAAGGCGGCUCGCUGGGCCACACCUGACGCUGAGACGCGAAAGCGUGGGGAGCGAACAGGAUUAGAUACCCCUGUAGUCC
This 783-nucleotide ribosomal RNA is filed under the name uncultured Rubrobacter sp. RNAcentral's name for it is "bacterial SSU rRNA". It matches the Rfam family "Bacterial small subunit ribosomal RNA", at positions 8 to 796 of the family's 1533-position model. The record is from RNAcentral. Lineage: Bacteria; Bacillati; Actinomycetota; Rubrobacteria; Rubrobacterales; Rubrobacteraceae.